This 791-nucleotide ribosomal RNA is filed under the name uncultured bacterium. RNAcentral describes it as "bacterial SSU rRNA". It matches the Rfam family "Bacterial small subunit ribosomal RNA", at positions 8 to 796 of the family's 1533-position model. The record is from RNAcentral.
AGAGUUUGAUCAUGGCUCAGAUUGAACGCUGGCGGCAUGCUUUACACAUGCAAGUCGAACGGGGUGAGGGGGCAACUCCUCAUCUAGUGGCGAACGGGUGAGUAAUGCAUCGGAACGUGUCCCGUAGUGGGGGAUAACCCGGCGAAAGCCGGACUAAUACCGCAUAUGCUCUACGGAGGAAAGUGGGGGAUCCGCAAGGACCUUACGCUAUGGGAGCGGCCGAUGUCCGAUUAGCUUGUUGGUGGGGUAAUGGCCUACCAAGGCGACGAUCGGUAGCUGGUCUGAGAGGAUGAUCAGCCACACUGGGACUGAGACACGGCCCAGACUCCUACGGGAGGCAGCAGUGGGGAAUUUUGGACAAUGGGGGCAACCCUGAUCCAGCCAUGCCGCGUGCGGGAAGAAGGCCUUCGGGUUGUAAACCGCUUUUAGUCGGGAAGAAAAGGUACGGGUGAAUACCCCGUGCUUUUGACGGUACCGGCGGAAUAAGCACCGGCUAACUACGUGCCAGCAGCCGCGGUAAUACGUAGGGUGCGAGCGUUAAUCGGAAUUACUGGGCGUAAAGCGUGCGCAGGCGGUUCGUUAAGUUCGAUGUGAAAGCCCCGGGCUCAACCUGGGAAUGGCAUUGGAAACUGGCGGACUCGAGUGUGGCAGAGGGGGGUGGAAUUCCGCGUAGCAGUGAAAUGCGUAGAGAUGCGGAGGAACACCGAUGGCGAAGGCAGCCCCCUGGGCUAACACUGACGCUCAGGCACGAAAGCGUGGGGAGCAAACAGGAUUAGAUACCCUAGUAGUCC